AAACGGAGCCAGCCCAGGACAGAGCCCAAGGUCCCAAGUUCUUGUCCCACAUCCAGAAGAAUAAGGUUAUGCAGACAACCAGAGAGUGAGCAGGGCAGAAAAAAACUUCUAUUGCAUGAUGGAACAGCUCCCAGCGUUGAGGGGACCUGAGAGUGGGCAGCCACUACCUGAAGGUCGGGCUUCACUGGGGACCUGCCCCAGUCUGCCUAGGAAUCUGUCUUCUGCUACUAUCAGAGGGACCACGCUUCGCUUAUCCAGUCGUCAUUCACGGACCCUGCAUUGUCUCUGCCUCUUGGGCUUUGUGAAGAAUGCUGCUGUGAACAGGGGAGUGCCCCUGCCUGUUUGGGUCCCUGCUUUCCAUUUCUUUGGGAGCAUCAUUAUAAACUGCUGAUCUACUGUUUCUUUGUCAAACGGGAGGAGAUAACAUGAGGGUCAUGAGAAAUGUUUGCAGACGGAGUGAAUGCCUUGAAAGUGCUGCGACCAGGUGCUGACACCCGGAGGUCUGGCUGCUCAAAGUGUUAGCUGACACGGAAGACACACGGACUUUCCCUCCAUUCCCCAAAACUCCCCUUCCCUGACUCGUCAGCUGCAUAAAAACCCUCUCCUUAUCUCUUUGUCAAGGGGAUUUGAGAAAUCUUGCUGUCUUGUCUUCUUGCUUUGGCCAAAUGGAAUAAACCUUUCUCUGUCUCCAGACACCUAUGUCGCAGUGUUCGGCCUCAGCUAUACGGCAGGUACAUGAACCUGGUAUUUGGGCUUCUACAACAAUUGUACUUAUAGCACAAAUAAAGUACAAAGUGUUAGGGAAGACCAAAGACCAUAGGUAGAAAACUUGGAUACAACUUCCAAAUAAACACUCUUCAAAACAUUUAAUGAGCAGCUUCUGGAAACGUAACUUUUUC
RNAcentral lists this long non-coding RNA (899 nucleotides) under Homo sapiens (human). Its description in RNAcentral is "HSALNT0299910". Lineage: Eukaryota; Metazoa; Chordata; Mammalia; Primates; Hominidae. The record is from RNAcentral.